Neogale vison (American mink) is the source of this 489-nucleotide long non-coding RNA. RefSeq lists it as uncharacterized. Lineage: Eukaryota; Metazoa; Chordata; Mammalia; Carnivora; Mustelidae. The record is from RefSeq and is a predicted model, not a curated record. The transcript has 4 exons.
GGUCCCCAGGACAGGCUUCUGACUUACCCAGUAGCUGAACAUGAUCUCCUCUUUGCUGGCCUCCAGCUCUCUUCCACAUUGAAGGACGUAUGAAAUCAGUGGUUUCAGAUGUACACAAGAGAAUCAAACUGUAACAUCCCACCUCACACAUUAUGCUGAAAGUGCAUAUGUAGAGUUUGGAGCAAAAAUGAGAUUGGAGUGAGGUGGAGAGGAAAUAGACAUAAGGGAGUCAGAGAAGCCGUAGUCCUCCACCCCAUAGGAUUUGCUUUCCGCAGCUUCAGUAACCAGAAGUCAAAAGCGUUGAAAGCCAUGCUCCUCCUUCUGAGGAACCCUCAGAAGGUGAGCAGUCGCCUAACUCUACGUCACAGUGCCUACGCCAUUUCCCUCACGUCCUCUCACCACGUAGGCAUUUUAUCAUCUCACCUCCUCAUGAGAAGUAUGAGUGCCGCACCACAAGAUGACAUGAUUCUUUAUAUGGAAAACCCAAAA